GCGGGGAGAGGGGCAGCCCGCUCGCGGCCCUCCCGCCUGGCUCUCGCCUCGGCCUGCGGCCGGGAUCCUCCGCCCGGGUCGCGCAGCGGAGGCCGAGGGCUGGGACGGGCGGCUGGGAAGUGGGAAAGGGAGCUCCUUUUGUCUUCUCUUCCCAUCCCCCAGGUUUGGGAAAGUUUUCCUUUUGGGAAAGCCCCUCUCUUCAGCCUGCUGGCGGGUGUCGGAUUGGUUAGCGACCACCGGCCCCCGCCUCCCCCAACAGGAUUCUCCUUUGGGCCACAGGUCUUCCGGAAGUUGCCAAACCCCGGUAGCGGCAGCGUCCGGCUGGGGGCUUUAUUAGGGGGCACCGGGGUCUGCUUUCCGACUCCCUUCCGACUCCGCGCCUGCGCAGGAAGCGAUUUGGGGAGUGUUGUGAAUUCCGAGGGCUCCACACUUAAGAGGUUGUACACUCACCUGUCUACCUGGACUCCAAUUUCCAUAUUUCCAGCCACUUGAGGACUGAGAGGUGGAUGAUAAACCCUGUCAUAGUGGAGCAAGUUCAGGUGUUUAACCGCUGUUAUGGGGGAUCUGCCUUUUCUCCCUCUUCUUUCUUACUUCCAUAAGUAUGUAUGUGCAGAGAUUGAAAAAUAACCUUGAGAGAGUCCAUCCAUCUAACUCCAGUUCAUUGGAAAUUUCUGCUUCUUUGAGACUGAGGUUAUAUUCCACUUCUUCUGACUACACCACCACCAUCAAUCUCCUUCUCUGAACUCUUGGAUCAUUACUUCAACCUGAAACAACUCAUCAGGCAGAAUAGUUGCCUACUGCCCCAACCCCACCAAAUGUUCCAGCACCUCUGAUAUUACCUCACAUGGCAAGAGGGCUUUGAAGAUGUGAUUGAGUCAAGGAUCUUGAAUGGGGAGAUUAUCCUGAAUUAUUCAGCUGGACCCAGUGUAAUCACAAAGGUUUUUCAAAGAUGGAAGAGAGGCAGAAGAGCCAGAAAAGGAUAUGUGACAAUGGAGUCAGUGUCAGAGUUGGAGUGACGUGAUGUGAGAAGGAUUCAACCUGCUGUUUCUGGCUUUGAGGAUGAAAGAAGGGGCCAUGAGCCAAGCAAUACAGGUGGCUUCUUUCAAGAAGUUGGAAAAGUGGUAAUAUUUUAUGUUAUUUUGGUUUGAUUUUUGUUUGUGGCAUAUGGCUCUGCUGUCCUGUGACUCUAAGUAGAAGAGAAAAUAGUGCCAAUAAUUCUUCAUGGAGAUGCACCUCUCUCAAGUCUUGAACAAUGUUUGAGGAGGAAGUGGUUCUCAGAUAAUUGACUAAUCACUUCUUCAUGGUCGUGAACUCAAGGACUUACCUGUUAUGAGGGGAGAAGCAUAAUAAAGAUUACAUCAUGUGAACUUUUGAAAUAAAAUGCCCGAAGACAUAAGAGAGACCCUUACCACUGUCACACUCAAAAGGAAAGCUUAGUAGCUACAGAGAUUUAAAAAGCAAGCAAACAAGCAACCAAGCAAACAACAAAGACCUGAAGAAAAUUCCAGAAUAAUCCUCAACCUGUGCUUUCACAUGCUAAAUUUUCAUAAUGAGAAAGAUAAACUGUGUAUCUUGUGGUGUCAGUGGUCAGUGUGGUGAUAGUAGUUGUGGUUUGGGCUGCUUUUUUCCUUGUUUAUUUUUUCCAAAUUUUAUUUGGGAAAAUUUCUGCUGUUUCCAUUGUGAACUAAAGUUACAUAUACUGGAUGAUAUAACUUUAACUCCUAAGAGUAUGUUUGGCUAUGUUUUUGGAAUUAGGUAUUAUGCAUGCCACCUUGUGGCCAUUAUUAAGAAAACACCUAACAUGAAGACGAGAAACAGGAUCAUUAGUGAGAGCAGCUUGAGCUUGGAGCAGUACUUUCCCAAGUCUGUUUCUCCAACAGCAUCCUUAGAACCCUUAGAACCUGGAUAUCACAUUUUAGUGGGAGGAGACAGACAAUAAAUAAAACAAAGUAUAGUAAGUGCUCUGGAGAAAAGUAAUGCAAAGAAGAGGGCCAGAAAGUAUCAAAAAGUUUGAAAUUACAAAUAAGGUACUCUUGGAAGACCUCACUAAGGUCACAUUUGAGCAGAGAUCUGAACAGCAUGAGAGACAACUGGGGGUGGGGGGGGGCAGAAUAAUGUUUCAGAUAUGUACAUUGCAACUGCAAAGGCCUGAGACAGGAAUUUGCCUGGCCUGUUCCAGCUUAGCAAAGAAAGAGGCCUGUGUUAAUGAUACUCAGAGAGGAAGGAGGCAAUAGUAGAACAUGAAGCCAGAAAAGUGACCAGAUGCAGGAGUGACUAAGGCUUUGUAGACUGCUGUAUAGACUCUGAGGGAAAUGAGCAGUCAUUGAUGGGUUUUUCGCACAGAAGGAUCUUGGUGUGUUUUAAAAGGAACAUUCUGUAUUCUAUGUUGAAAACAGACUGAAAAGCACAAGAGAAAGAACAGGAAGAGCAAUUAGGAGGCUGUGGUAGAUUAUUAUUCAGCAAAUAUUCACCCUACUGUCCUCCCCAUAAGAUUUCCCCAGGCCACCAUCACUGGAUUUGGCUAUUUGACUUGCUGUAGUCAAUGGAAUGUGAGUGAAAAGUGACUCUGUACCAGUGGGGAGGCAAAGCCUUAAAAGACCCAGCAAAUUUCUUCCAGCCCUUUUGUGCUUCUGCCAAAAGAAUACUGUGAGCAAUCAGUGCCCUUAAGCCUGGGCCUCAGAACGAGAGAUAUGGAGCAAACCUGAACCUGAACAGCAGCCUACAAUCAAGCCAGGAUGACCCUGCAAAGCCCAGCCAACGAUAGCAAAGCCACAGCAGACUUGUAGACCAAUGAGCAUGAAAUAAAUUGCAUUGAAAGCU
This 2820-nucleotide long non-coding RNA is filed under the name Homo sapiens (human). RNAcentral's name for it is "HSALNT0348268". The record is from RNAcentral. Lineage: Eukaryota; Metazoa; Chordata; Mammalia; Primates; Hominidae.